AAAAGGAUGUUUUAGAAUAUUUGAUAGGUUCUGUGGCCUCCUGGAAAUCCUGGCUGAAAGCUGCAUGACAUUGAAGAGUGCUGGAUACCCUAACUCAACUGCAUGGAAAUUGACUUCUGGACAAAUAAAAUGGACUUACAAUCAAAAGAUUUAUUAUUCAUCAUCAGAAACAUGAACAAAUGGCCUCAGUGGUUUCCAGAAUUAUAUAAUAUAUAUCAACUAUGGAUAACUGCAA
This is a long non-coding RNA of Pantherophis guttatus, 235 nucleotides long. RefSeq lists it as uncharacterized. The record is from RefSeq and is a predicted model, not a curated record. Lineage: Eukaryota; Metazoa; Chordata; Lepidosauria; Squamata; Colubridae.